GUUCUAGUUGGUAGGGGUACCCUUGGCCGUAUCAUAAAUGCCAUUGGAGAGCCUAUUGAUGCCUAGGGAGAAAUUAAUACUGAGCAUUAUUUGCCCAUUCAUAGAGAAGCUCCUGCUUUUGUUGAGCAAGAAACUGCACAACAGAUUCUUGUUAUUGGAAUCAAGGUUGUUGACCUGCUUGCACCAUAUCAAAGAGGAGGAAAGAUUGGGUUGUUUGGUGGUGCUGGUGUAGGAAAAAUUGUGCUUAUUAUGGAACUUAUUAACAAUGUUGCAAAAGCUCAUGGUAUGUAUGUACACUUAGUUUAUUCUUGGUAAAA
Molecule: long non-coding RNA, 317 nt
Organism: Glycine soja
Lineage: Eukaryota; Viridiplantae; Streptophyta; Magnoliopsida; Fabales; Fabaceae
Exons: 3
Source: RefSeq, a predicted model, not a curated record